AGCAUCGCCCGAAUUAUCGUGGGCUACACGGCGGCUAACAAGUGGGUGGACAAGUGGUACCGACACCGAAAGGUGAAGGCAAUCUCCUAAACCCAUCCGUAGUUCGGAUUGUGGGCUGCAACUCGCCCACAUGAAGCUGGAAUCUGUAGUAAUCGUGUCUCAAAAUGGCACGGUGAAUAUGUCCCUGCUCCUU
This 193-nucleotide ribosomal RNA is filed under the name uncultured Methanomicrobiales archaeon. Its description in RNAcentral is "partial 16S ribosomal RNA". It matches the Rfam family "Archaeal small subunit ribosomal RNA", at positions 1148 to 1338 of the family's 1478-position model. The record is from RNAcentral. Lineage: Archaea; Methanobacteriati; Methanobacteriota; Methanomicrobia; Methanomicrobiales.